Molecule: transfer RNA, 73 nt
Filed under: Metschnikowia bicuspidata var. bicuspidata NRRL YB-4993
Lineage: Eukaryota; Fungi; Ascomycota; Pichiomycetes; Serinales; Metschnikowiaceae
Rfam family: tRNA
About the family: Transfer RNA (tRNA) molecules are approximately 80 nucleotides in length. Their secondary structure includes four short double-helical elements and three loops (D, anti-codon, and T loops). Further hydrogen bonds mediate the characteristic L-shaped molecular structure. tRNAs have two regions of fundamental functional importance: the anti-codon, which is responsible for specific mRNA codon recognition, and the 3' end, to which the tRNAs corresponding amino acid is attached (by aminoacyl-tRNA synthetases). tRNAs cope with the degeneracy of the genetic code in two manners: having more than one tRNA (with a specific anti-codon) for a particular amino acid; and 'wobble' base-pairing, i.e. permitting non-standard base-pairing at the 3rd anti-codon position.
Source: Rfam by way of RNAcentral
GCGGGUUUAGCUCAGUUGGGAGAGCGUCAGACUGAAGAUCUGAAGGUCCUGUGUUCGAUCCACAGAAAUCGCA